RNAcentral lists this ribosomal RNA (253 nucleotides) under uncultured bacterium. Its description in RNAcentral is "partial 16S ribosomal RNA". It matches the Rfam family "Bacterial small subunit ribosomal RNA", at positions 524 to 776 of the family's 1533-position model. The record is from RNAcentral.
UACGUAGGGCGCAAGCGUUGUCCGGAAUUAUUGGGCGUAAAGAGCUCGUAGGCGGUUUGUCGCGUCUGCUGUGAAAACUGGAGGCUCAACCUCCAGCCUGCAGUGGGUACGGGCAAACUAGAGUGCGGUAGGGGAGAUUGGAAUUCCUGGUGUAGCGGUGGAAUGCGCAGAUAUCAGGAGGAACACCGAUGGCGAAGGCAGAUCUCUGGGCCGUAACUGACGCUGAGGAGCGAAAGCAUGGGGAGCGAACAGG